Molecule: non-coding RNA, 1071 nt
Organism: Zonotrichia albicollis (white-throated sparrow)
Lineage: Eukaryota; Metazoa; Chordata; Aves; Passeriformes; Passerellidae
Source: RefSeq, a predicted model, not a curated record
AAUACAACUGCAGAAGUCCUGCCAGAACAGCAUGUUGCUUCCUCCACCAUCCUGUCAAAGUCACAUCUGAUGAGGAUGUCUACUCUGUACCACCCUGACCUACCUGUUAGGAGGACGGAUUCUGAACUGGAUGAUUAUGGACACUGAUUUUCUUUCCUCUUCAAAAUUACUGUCUCCAAACUAAGAGAUUCAAAGAGGCUGGAACCUACCUCUCCUGCUGACUGUGAAUGAAGACUGCAGUAUAUUCAGCUACAAGUCCAUCUGCUCUUUAACUUUUUUUUUUAAAUUCUAUCUAAGAGUGUUUUUCCUUUGAAGUUUCUAGCACCAUUUAUGAAGGCUCAAAAGGAGUAUUAUUCAUAUGUUUCAGAUGAGGAAAGCUAAACUGUCAAAGUAACAUCUGACUUGAGAGUAGCCAGUAUUCUCCAAGGCAUCAGCAUUUAAGAGGACCUGAGAAAAGAUCCUGUGCCUACCAGGAAAUUUCACUGAUCUCAUCAAGCCACAAAACUCAGGAAGGAGGAAAAAUCUGCACAAAUUAAGAAGUGCCCAGUAGAUCAUGCUGUCUUGUUGAAAACUCCAGUGGUAACUGGGCUUCUAUGGGAUUAUUUUUAGCAGUAAAAGAGUAGAUGGUGUAAGAUAAGUGAAGAGGGAUUCCAUAAAUAGCUGCAUUUCAAUUGCCUGUUUGGCAUCAUCUAAUUGUUACAACAAACAGCACCAAAUGACAAAAAUGAACACCUUUCUACUCAGAAGAUAAACUGUUUUUAAAUAGAAAGGAAUGAAACCUAGGUCUAUCAUUUUUAGAAUCCCAGUGAACUAAAAUGGACAGGACUGGAGAAGCAGAGACACCUGAGCAGCUUUGAAGACAUUUCUCUGGCGUGUUCUUACUGACUCUGAGACCUAUUUCCAACCACAGUGUCUGCUCAUCCUAGUGCAGCACCCUUCAGACCUACCUUCCCCAUAGGAUUCAGCAGACAUGGUUGAGCAAAGAGCUAAGCACAAGCUGGAUCUACAGAGCCUCAGGAGGAAUCCCAGGCAAACAAUGCACUUGGGUGAAGACAUCUCAACAACAGCCAG